CCUACGGGUGGCAGCAGUGGGGAAUAUUGCGCAAUGGAGGAAACCCUGAUCCAGCAACGCCGCGUGAGUGAAGAAGGAAUUCGUUUUGUAAAGCUCUAUCAGCAGGGAAGAAAAUAGCGGUGCCUGAGUAAGAAGCCGCGGCUACCUACGUGCCAGCAGCCGCGGUAGUACGUAGGGGGCAAGCGGUAUCCUGAUUUACUGCGCGUAAAGGGAGCGUAGACGGUAGUGCAAGUAGGGAGUGAAAGGCGGGGGCUCAACCCUCGGACUGCUCUUGAAACUGUACGGCUGGAGUGCAGGAGAGGUAAGUGGAAUUCCUAGUGUAGCGGUGAAAUGCGUAGAUAUUAGGAGGAACACCAGUGGCGAAGGCGGCUUACUGGACUGUAACUGACGUUGAGGCUCGAAAGCGUGGGGAGCAAACAGGAUUAGAUACCCUGGUAGUC
RNAcentral lists this ribosomal RNA (440 nucleotides) under uncultured bacterium. Its description in RNAcentral is "partial 16S ribosomal RNA". It matches the Rfam family "Bacterial small subunit ribosomal RNA", at positions 338 to 795 of the family's 1533-position model. The record is from RNAcentral.